AACGAACGCUGGCGGCAUGCCUAACACAUGCAAGUCGAACGAGACCUUCGGGUCUAGUGGCGCACGGGUGCGUAACGCGUGGGAACCUGCCCUUAGGUUCGGAAUAACUCCCCGAAAGGGGUGCUAAUACCGGAUAAUGUCUUCGGACCAAAGCUUUAUCGCCUUUGGAUGGGCCCGCGUUGGAUUAGCUAGUUGGUAGGGUAAAAGCCUACCAAGGCGACGAUCCAUAGCUGGUCUGAGAGGAUGAUCAGCCACACUGGGACUGAGACACGGCCCAGACUCCUACGGGAGGCAGCAGUGGGGAAUAUUGGACAAUGGGCGAAAGCCUGAUGCAGCAAUGCCGCGUGAGUGAUGAAGGCCUUAGGGUUGUAAAGCUCUUUUACCCGGGAUGAUAAUGACAGUACCGGGAGAAUAAGCUCCGGCUAACUACGUG
This 433-nucleotide ribosomal RNA is filed under the name uncultured bacterium. RNAcentral's name for it is "partial 16S ribosomal RNA". It matches the Rfam family "Bacterial small subunit ribosomal RNA", at positions 29 to 507 of the family's 1533-position model. The record is from RNAcentral.